RNAcentral lists this ribosomal RNA (253 nucleotides) under uncultured bacterium. Its description in RNAcentral is "partial 16S ribosomal RNA". It matches the Rfam family "Bacterial small subunit ribosomal RNA", at positions 524 to 776 of the family's 1533-position model. The record is from RNAcentral.
UACGGGGGGGGUAAGCGUUGUUCGGAAUUACUGGGCGUAAAGGGCUCGUAGGCGGCCAACUAAGUCAGACGUGAAAUCCCUCAGCUUAACUGGGGAACUGCGUCUGAUACUGGAUGGCUUGGAUUCGGGAGAGGAAUGCGGAAUUCCAGGUGUAGCGGUGAAAUGCGUAGAUAUCUGGAGGAAUACCGGUGGCGAAGGCGGCAUCCUGGACCGGCAUUGACGCUGAUGAGCGAAAGCUAGGGGAGCAAACGGG